This 459-nucleotide ribosomal RNA is filed under the name uncultured bacterium. RNAcentral's name for it is "bacterial SSU rRNA". It matches the Rfam family "Bacterial small subunit ribosomal RNA", at positions 28 to 533 of the family's 1533-position model. The record is from RNAcentral.
GAUGAACGCUGGCGGCGUGCUUAACACAUGCAAGUCGAACGAACCUUCGGGUUAGUGGCGGACGGGUGAGUAACGCGUGAGAAUCUGCCCUCAGGAGGGGGAUAACGGUUGGAAACGACCGCUAAUACCCCCAUAUGCCGCGAGGUGAAAUGAAUUUCGCCUGAGGAUGAGCUCGCGUCUGAUUAGCUAGUUGGUGGGGUAAGAGCCUACCAAGGCUUCGAUCAGUAGCUGGUCUGAGAGGAUGAUCAGCCACACUGGGACUGAGACACGGCCCAGACUCCUACGGGAGGCAGCAGUGGGGAAUUUUCCGCAAUGGGCGAAAGCCUGACGGAGCAACGCCGCGUGAGGGAUGAAGGCCUCUGGGCUGUAAACCUCUUUUAUCAAGGAAGAAGAUCUGACGGUACUUGAUGAAUAAGCCACGGCUAAUUCCGUGCCAGCAGCCGCGGUAAAGUAGUCGUG